RNAcentral lists this ribosomal RNA (519 nucleotides) under uncultured crenarchaeote. RNAcentral describes it as "bacterial SSU rRNA". It matches the Rfam family "Archaeal small subunit ribosomal RNA", at positions 52 to 596 of the family's 1478-position model. The record is from RNAcentral. Lineage: Archaea; Thermoproteati; Thermoproteota.
UGCGAGUCAUUGUAGUAAUACAAGGCAGACGGCUCAGUAACGCGUAGUCACGCCUAACCUAUGGACGGGAAUAACCUCGGGAAACUGAGUAUAAUGCCCGAUAGAACAUUAUACCUGGAAUGGUUUAUGUUCCAAAUGAUUUAUCGCCGUAGGAUGGGACUGCGGCCUAUCAGUUUGUUGGUGAGGUAAUGGCCCACCAAGACUAUUACAGGUACGGGCUCUGAGAGGAGUAGCCCGGAGAUGGGUACUGAGACACGGACCCAGGCCCUAUGGGGCGCAGCAGGCGAGAAAACUUUGCAAUGUGCGAAAGCACGACAAGGUUAAUCCGAGUGGUUUCUGCUAAAGGAACCUUUUGUCGGUCCUAGAACACCGAUGAUAAGGGUGGCAAGUUCUGGUGUCAGCCGCCGCGGUAAACCAGCACCUCAGUGUCAGGAUGAUUAUUGGACUAAGCAUCCGUAGCGGCUUGUAGUUUCGUAAUCUGUACGCUCACGUACAGCUGCGGGAUACUGCAGAGCUAGG